UCUGGGAUGGAGUGGGCUAGGAACUGGAGGGGGUGAUGAAAUACCUUUGGUACCUGGCAAAUCUGAACUUGAAGCCUUGAAAACAGUAUUUUGGUCCUAGAUCGGUAGACUGACAUGCUGGAAGAAACAGUAGAUUAGAUAUUUAUAAACUGUUAAAUACAGAAUAAAGUACAACUGCUUUUUUUUAACACUUAAUUGGUUCUAGAAGUUGAAUACAUCAUACUAGUGAAUUACAAGACUAUAAAAUAUCUUUCAAGGUAUGAGUUAGUGGGUUUUGUCUCUAAAUUAUCUGUUUUCUACACUCCUUUGUUUCUAAUCAAAUGAUUUACAUGUUAUUUAUCUCAAUGUUUUUAGGUUAUUUCUUUGUUAUUCUGUGCUUCACUUUUUCAUAUGGAUUGCUUACACUUUUAAAUCUGAUGAAUCUGCCUUUAAAAAUUUGAAGUUAUAUGAUAAAAGACAUCUCCACAAGCAUGAAGGAACAGAGAGGCAUGACGGCGAGUAGGGAACCCCAGUGUCUCAGAGAAAGGAUCCUCUGCCCUAGCCCAUCCCAGGGCUGUCCCACAAGUCCCAUGGCCUAGGGGUGUCUCCUAUCCUGUGAGUCAAUGGGAGCAGCUCUCUGGAGCACCCCUCGAAUGUGUCUGUGUGCGGUCAUGGCCUGGGGGUAUGGGACACAUGAUGGGUUGCAAGGGAAGGGCAUUUCAAGGUGCUCUAGCUCACAAGUAGGUUAAGUGCCUUGGGAGCCAAGUAUGUGUGUGCUGAGCACCUGAAAGGAGUUGGCUGCCGAGUGUCCAGAAGGUCCAGGACAGCUGCCAAAGAGACAGUGGGGCUCAGGGGGGUGGAACGGGGUGUGUCUGUUUGUGAUGCAACUGGAGACGGGAGGAUUCAGAGGUGAGUUACUAGGCAGACUAAGUAUCUCAGGCCAGUUACUGGAGGGGAGCACAGCGUGUGUUUCCCACUAGUGGACCUUCAACCUGAUCUGCUCAAGUGGAGAACAGGUAAUUUUCUCAUUCAGACACUUUGUGACAAAGGAAGAAGAGGAGAAAAUGUGAUGUUUGGAGGCUGUUUAAACACAAGCAGUUGAAAACUGUUGGCUUUUUCUUCAAAGUGAAUCUGCAGCACCAUAUGUGUAAAAUUCCCUUAGGAUUUUCUACCAUCGGAAAUUCAAAGAGAAGAGUAAUAGCCAUGCCAGCAAGGCUGAAGUGUUAACCCACAGACGUGUUGCAUCUUGAUCUUCUAUUGUUUCAUUUCCCAUUGAUUUCUCCUGUAGAUAUUUUCAGUCAAACUCUCUUAAUAAAAUCCAGACAAAAUAAUAUUGGACAUAUAAGUAUAUGUAAUAAUUAUAAAAAACUAUUAUAUGGCUAAGGUUUUGCUCUCUGUCUUAAAGUAUUUCCAUUUCUGAUGGGCAAAUUUGUAAAACAUAAGCAAUUUAUGAGAAGUUUAAAAUUUCUUAACACUUCAGCAGUAAACGAAGACUUGUUAUCAAUUGUAUUGCACUGAUACAUUUGCUCCAAAAAUAAAUUUAUUAUUUAAUGUGAAUGUUUCUUCAAGUAUGAAAUAUUCAAAAUUAAUAUUUGGGUUUAUAUAGAAGCAUAGAAAAUGUAAAAAUUAUAAAAAGUAUCUACUUUAGCUGACCAAUUAUACUGCCCUCAUUCAUGCAUGUAUUUUGAUUGAUUGCAUUGGUGCUUCUCAGCUGACUAAAUCCUCUGCAGUUUUAGCUGAACAGCACCAAACGGAUGGUAUUAUUUAUUUCAAAUCUUUGCCUAUACAUGUUAUUAAAACAAAACAAAACAAAACACAAAAACAAAACACCCAAACCCUGCUGCUUCUUCCUUUACAUUUAUUUAAAACUUCCAUAUUUUUGCUGAAGUAAUCACAGUGCCAGUUUCCUAAAACAUAAACAGAUAAAAAACUAAUACUGAAGGAUUUCCUCAGUAUGAUGUUAGCUGUGCAAGCUCGAUUUGAAAGCUGGUCCCUUGGGAUCUAUGCAAGGAACAAGUGCUGUACCGCAAAUAUACAAAUGUAUACUUUAUUUUUAUUUUAUAUUUCUAUAUAAUUAAAUAUAAAAGGGGAUGCUAUUUUUGUUUCAAGUCUAAUAUUAUGUAAUAAACUGAACAAACUAAUCAGCUAGUGAAUGGAAGUAUGCCAUCUUAUUUAAUCAUCUAAAUGGGUGCAUUUUAUUGCAGUCAAAGUACAGUUACUGUAAUUCUUUAUAUGCGUGUGCUUAAAUUAAAAUGCCAUGUGUUAUAAUUUGCUGGUGGUAUGAACGGGAAAAAAAGAUGCCGUAAGGUUUCCAAAACCUUACUUGUGAGUGUAGUGAUCAUUUCAAGAAGUUCUACACAAAAUUGCUUGGUCUUUUUGUCUGGCAUUUUCCAUUUAAUUCAGUGGAAGCUGUAUAGCUAAAAUCACACUGAAUUCAUUGCAAAUCUAGGGCAUGCUUAAGGGGCACUUCAUCUGAGCAAAGAAAUCAUUGCUUUGACUGUGGCUAUGUUAAGUGAGAGAUGGAAGUGAAUAGCUUUUAGUUUAUUGCUCAUUUGAAAGCUGGAGGGGAAAAUGGCCUUUGUCUACCUGCCGAGCUCUUCCCUUCCCCUGCCCAAACUUCCUAAAAAUGCUCAUUUGAAAUCUGGCAGCUGUUACCUUUGAUUUCUUUCAGUAGUUUUUCCUUUUUUUUAUUUUUUAGAUCACUUCAUUUUUUUUCUUUUGUUCCUGUAAUAAAUUCAAUCUAUUUUAAAAAUGUAAAAAGUAAAAACUAACGUGGUUUGAAACAGGCCCCAAAGAAGAAAUCACUUAAUGACAAUUUGAUACUUAAUUCAAAGUCUGAUCACUAAGGUGUAUUCCUGAGUUGCUUAGUUUCUGAUAUAUUUCUCAGGUUUUUUUAUAUAUGAACCUGUUCUUUUUCUUUGAGUAAAUUUUAAGUCCUACCAUUUUGUAUGUAUUAUAAUGACAUCUCAUUGCAGAUGCAGUCUAAGUGCACAUCAUAAUGUUAAAAAAAACCCAGUAAUUGUAGAUUGUAUUCUUUAAAUCUGUGAUAUUACACCUUGUUUUGUAAUUAAGUGAGGAAGAUGAAAUUAUGAAGUCUAUUGGUGCCUUCAACAAUAGUGCUUUUAAUGCAUUAAUUAGGUGCAUGUUUGCUCCAAGACCAGCAAAAAGAACAGAAAAUAUUUGCUGUUUUCAUUGGAGAGUAUUAAAUAACACAAGCUUUUCUUAAUGGAACUAAUAAUCUGUUUAUUGGUUUUGGUUUAUUGCUUUUUUAUUCUACUUUUUGUCUUCACGUUUAAUUGGGAUUUUUUUUGAGUUCCUGACUUCACCGCAUAUAUCAAGUAGGCAAUUCUUGGAGAUCUUGAGCAAUUGCUUUGGAGGGAGAGAUGGGAGUGGAGAGCAGAAUCAGUCUCCUAUUUUUUUCUUCAAAGCUGUGUUACAGUAACGUACUUUCCAUACUCAGCCAUUGUAAUUAAGUGUAGAGCUAAGUAAUCACAAAAUCUUGCAAAGUCCUGAAACUCAUUGCAAGAACAAAUGAAAAUACUCUCUGAACAGUGAGUGAGAUGCUGUUCUCAUGCUCAUCAUCUUCCUAGAUGAUGUGCCCAUUUAUACUUUGCCCAAGUAAAAGAAAUGUUACUCCCAUAGAGUUUUUAAUAGAUUUUUUUGUUUGAAAUUGAGGAACUACUAAUACCAAAGGCCAGAGACAGUUUUCCAAGAAUAGAAAAAAGCCAAUUUAGAUUAAUUCCAUCUCUGCUACUGCUCGAACUGGAUUCAGGUUUUAUUAGUGCAUGUGGAACUGAGGAGGCCUUGGCAAUAAUAAUAAGCACAUGUCUAAGGGAAAAGACUCUGCAGAAGUUAAACUUUGGGGUGGGUUUAGUAAUGAGUUCCCAGAUAGUGCACACUAACUGUUUUCUGCACUGUUCUUUCCUGCUGGAUUUUGAGAAAAUCAGGUAAAACCUUCCUGAUACUUAAAGCCCUUUGCUAAAUUAAAUAUAUUCUGAUUUUUGGAGUGGUUGGAUAUUUUAAGCUGGUUAUCUUGAAGCACUAUGCUUAAUUUGCUUUUGUUUUGUUUUCUACAAAGCACAAAAAUAGACAAUUAGUGGCAUCUCACAAAUAUAAUCUUCUUAUCCUUUUCCUGUCCUUCCUUUAUGAGUAGUGAAGAAAUACAUACUUUGGCUUUGUGAAGUAGAAUUGGUAUAAUCAACAUGGUGGUGCCUCAUUAAAAAUAAUUUGGUGUAACAUUCUUUACUUUAUGGGUUAUGUCUCAGGUGUCUGCAGGCAGAAUCCUCCUUGUAAUGAUAUUACAGACAGUUCUAUAAAUCAGAGUCCUACAAAACCAGAAGAAUCUGCUUCUGGCUGACUUAACAUCUCUUCUCCCAUUCUUUUUCCUUUGAGGGACCUCUCAGCUAAGUUCUGAUGCCAUUUUAGCUAUUGCAGUCUUGUAUCUAUCUAAAUUAAAAUGGCCACUGAAUAAACACGUUGCAAGGAUAUAAAAUAAGAUGUACACUUUGUGGCUGCUAGUUUUCUUUCAUUAAAAUGUUGACCAGUGAAAUAGAAAGUUGUAGCAAUGUAAUGAUUUCUACUCAAUAAAGAUGCUACUAUAGAUAAUGAUGCUGCCAGAUAAAUGUCAUUAGAGUAUCAGACAUUUUUCAAAACCAAAUGUCAGGCCUCAGUUGGCAUGCAUAUUGAUCCAAUAAAUUUGUUUUUCAUGAGUGUGGAAGGUGCCUAUUUUUGCAGUAAGGGUAAGCACGUUAAAAUGAUGGUUGUUUAGAAAGAUUAAUUUCUCUUUUUCCCUUCAAGAUUAAAGAACAUGGAUUGAAAUUAUGUGGUUCUAGACUCAGGAGAGCCCAUUCAUAUCUCUGUGCAGUGCAACCUUAUGUUGACAAUACAUACAUGAUGGGAGAAUUUGUAUAUGUAUGUAGGUUCGGAGUCAUGCUCGAAAUGCAGUGUCAAUGUAGCAAGACUUCCCUAUUGUAAAAGUAUGUGUCUUCCAUAAACCAUGACAUCCUCUGCUGGUCAGAGGUUUGAUUAAAAGCUGGUAGCUUGUGGUUUGUGAAUCUCUGUGAUGAUAGUUUUUAAUUAAUGUGCAUUACAAAGUACUCUCUGAAAUAAUAGUGGUACAGAACUGACAGUCUUGGUUGAAAAAGUUAUUGGAUUAAUUCUGGUAAUUUCAUAAUCCGAUAAAUUUGAGUUAAGCACAGAAAAACCUUUCUUCAUAGUGUGACUUAAAUACCUGUAAGGCCCUGUCCAUGUUAUAAGACAUUUUUAGGCAAGGAUUAUCUUCCUUGCAGAACAGCUUUAUUUCAUAUUAGUUCACUUAAGUGUUUUCAGAGGUCCUCAUACAGUUUCGAGGAAGACCAUUGAAAGUUCUCUAGACCUCUAUGUAAGAAUGGUGUAUGUAUGAAUUACUGUACAGGACCCUAGUUUGCUGCAUAAUUGAUCUCUGUUUCAAAAGAAUUGUGAUCGACAAGGCACAGUAUAUGCUUGAUUUCCAUGAGCUUUUGUUGAAUGAUAUUGCUAUAUAAAAUUAAGUUUUGAAAGGUACACCGAGCUCAUUUUUUAAGUCUGUCUCCGUUUAAACAAAAGUAACAAAUAACUGCUUCAAUCAUUUUGGCUUAUUCAAGACAAGAAAAAGACAAAACUAGUUUAGCACGUAGCUGAGCUGUUUUUGUCUUUGGUGUGGUUUGGCAGGAUGGGUUUUUGUUUGUUUGUUUGUUUUUGUAGUGGCAUUAUAAUGUUACAAAAAAAAGCUUUCCUUGGAGGCAAAAUUUAGUUUAGGCAAACUACUUUGCUGAAAGUGGCCAUACUUCUAACUCUUUUCAAUAUAUGGUGUAAACUGUAAGUAGGUGAUUGCAUCUUUGGGAAACAUUUGAUAAGAGUUAAUAAUUUAAUGAGGGGACAUGUAUUCGAUAUGUUUAGAAAAUUACAAUUGCCAUACCAUUUGCGUAUACCUCACAGUAGUAUCAAUUUGAGGUGUUAAUGCUUCCUGUUAAAAGAGGAAAUCAAGGAACUGCCCACAUUGCCUGAUGCUUGAAAUCUCAGGACAUGAAGAGCAUCUGGCUAGAGAAUGUAGCUGCAGGAUGUCAUGGCCUGUAGUCAGAAGAAAACUCGGUGAAGAGAAGUCUUGUAAUCCAUUCUGAUUGUUGCCAAGUUUGCUCUUGAAUUCAUUCCUGCCAGUAGCAAAUCCCAGAGAUAUGUAUCAUCUGCCAAGAAUUCUCCCCUCCUGGCUGCAGAAAAUGCAAUGCUUGGAACUGCCAAACACUUUGUGUGGUUGGGUUAGAGACAGGUAGACAGUUGGUCUUUUAAAAGACAUGGCAUCCAGGCAAUUUGCAAUUGUAUUGACUGCACAGCACUGGGUAUUUCACAUAGAACAUGUAUUGAUGACUGUCACAGAGCAGCAGCACAGCAUAAAACACGCAUUGCAUUUUUACCUCCCACACAUACCGUGUUACAGAUAGCAUGAUACAGUUUUUACAACGAAGUCCUAGGCUUGAACAUCAGAAGUCACAUUUCACUGACUUUUGUGUGUACUAAAAAAAACAACCAAAGAAACAACAAAAAAAAUCCCACAUAUACAGAUAUGAUGCAGUCUUUUCACAUUUUGUCAUUUAAAAAAAAAUUAUGUAUAGAUCUAGGCUGAACAAAUUCAUUUUUUCUGUCAACAUUUUAUCACGCCAAACAACAAACGUCUGUCAGACUUCCUUAUCAAUCAUAAAUGCUGUGAGGUUCAGGGCCCUCAAAGAGUACUUGCCAAAGAUGGAGUGAUGCUUGAUUUUUUCACUUACUGCCUUCCUUCCCAAAGCAGAGGAGACAGAUUUGGCUUUAGUGAGCAGAGCAAAAAAUGUGAAGUAUAAAAGCAUUACGUGGAAGCUAUCAUUAUAUUUGGGCAAUGCUUUUUAUUGUAAAUUUGGCUGUAUUUUAACUAUAUUCAAAAUGCUUUAUAAAACACUUCUAAAUGUAAAUAUUAAAUGUCAAUAUGUGGAUACAAGUGUGGACUACUUCUCCUUAAAUACCCUCUUUAGCAACAAAACUAGUAGUCUAUUUGGCAGUGAUAACCACUUUGCUAAGUUAACUUUAAAUAGUAUUGCUAUUUCUUCAUUUGUCAUAGAAAUGUUAUCUUCCUGAAUAGCAGCUGAGUUAUUUAUUAAGGAGCAGAUAAAAUUUAGAUUAACAAAACAACAUACCUGGCACUCCUGUAGUUAAGGAGGCUGUGAAUAGUGCAUGAUAAGCAGAACUUGAAUUCCUUGACAUUAAGAUAAAAAAAAAAAAAUCAAAGAUUGUUGUCAGUGUUAUGCUCUUUCAGUAAACAGGACACAUUUUAAUUAGGUACCUGAACUUUAUCUUAUGUUCAGCUCAGAUUGGCUUGUAAAUUUUUUUUGUUGUUGUUCUACAGUGCCUUAUCCUUCUUUUGGGAAAACUUGCAAACUUCUCUCUGUUGAUGAUUAGAACUUCAGUGUGGAGCUGGGUCGGUCUUAUCUAGGUUAAAGUGUUACAUCCUCAGCAGAAGACAUUAGUGCGGUUGAGAGGGGAAUGGUUUUUCAUUCUGCAGAGCCUACAAGAUUCAGUCUGACAGAAACUGGGAAGCCACCUUGCAGUGUAUUAUCUAGCUGGUAGGAAGUAAAGAGCCCUAGGCCUUGUAAGAAACAGCAGGUACAAUGUGAAUUUUCUUGCUUUGAGAUUCGCCUCAGACAGGCAAGAGCAAGUUGCUUUGCCUUGUCUGCUUUUCUUUGCUCCUCAAAAUAGCCUGACAGAACAGCCCUCAUCAAGGCACUCCUUGCAGCUCCUGGCCCUCCUGACCUUAGACUCUGUUUUCCAAAACUCCAUGCCUUGCUUUUGCUCCCCUUACUGAUACCUUUGAAGUCAUCAUUUGUUGUGUUCCUUUUCCUCUAAGUCAUGGUCUAGUGUAUAACCUCAGUGUUUAGUUUGACAGGGCUGCUAUAACAUUGACUGUCAUUCUACUCAGCAACUGUAGAGGAAGAUACCAAAAAAGUAACAUCAUAAAAUUAUGCUCGCAUGAUUUAGAAUAAAUGAAUGUAUGCAAGCUGGGUUGAAUGGCUGUUGAUUUAGUGUUACAAUGUGGAUUUUUUUGUGGUCAAGGUCAUUACUUUCUUUUUAUUGAUCAUUUGCUUUUUAGUCACCAAACAAAGAAUAUAUUUGAACAACCUUUGCUUUUGCGUGUGAUUAAUGUGUGUCUGGAAUAAUUUGCAAUGAAAUGCUUCAAUAUAUAUCCAUACCCAGUAUUAAUUUUAGAACCUGUGUUAAAAUGGCCUUAAACUUACUGAUAUGUAAAAGAAAUUAAGAAGUAAUAGUGAAAAUGAAGAUGAAACAACAAAAAUUACCUGAUCUUGAGUAAAGACUGUAUAAUAUGCAGUUCAUUUGUGCUGGAUAACAUUUUCAGAAUCACAACAGAAGUCUGAAUGACAUAGAUGUUAAAAAUACAGCAUCCAUAGUCUUAUGGUCAGCCCUGCCCCCCAUACUGUUACCUCUUUUGAAAGAAGUAGUGUAGGAUAAAUCAACAAUCAGAAUGGCUUGUGUACUAUUAAUGCUAUGAGAAAAGUAAAGGACUUUUGAGUAUAGUAGUGGCAAGCUUAGAAACACAUCUGCAAUACAAAAUAUUUUCAGCAUGCCUUAAAUGGAAGAAUCUUGUUGGAGCCAAAAGUUUGACCUUUAGACAGAAGUAGAAGUGAGGCUCCUUACUCAUUUUGGAAUUGAGGUACAAAUUUCUUUAACUCUUGUCUUGUAAGAACGUCUACACAUUUUUCUUUGGGGAAAGUGUGUUUUUUAGAGAGAAACUCAUCUGCUGUAAGACUUUUUUUACACCUGCUACCUUUGCAUGAAGUUGAUCAAUAAGUUUAUUACUGAGUUUAUUUGAAGAGCACCAGUGACAAAACUAGUUGUAAGAACUUUCUUUUUUUUUAAGAUAUUGAAAUGUUAUUGAGUGUGAUCAACUUGCAUCCUGUAUUUUAGCUGUUCAUUUAAUUUUAUAUACAUAUAUAUACGUAAGAAUAUAUGUAAUGUGCAUCUAAAGCAUUCAGCAGUUUUGUUCAUGGAGAGCUGCUUGUUUCCAGCCUGGGAAAAGAAUGGUGCUUUUCCUAAGAGGAACUUUUGCAUUUGGUUGAAGAUAGUUGUAGCUAGUCCUAAAAGACUGCAUUCUAGAUUCAGCUUAUUCAGAAUAUAAAGUACUUCCAUCAGAGUACUGGGAAGACCAAAUAAUGAGAGGUGGCAGACAGUCAUCACCAUUAAUCGUUAGCUUGGUAAGGUGAUGAAAAUCUUAUGCAUCUGCUACAUAGAUGCCAAGAAGAACAGGAACAGCUGCCUACUUUCCAUACCUUGGCUCAGCUAAAAUACAACAGCAGGAAUGAGUGAGUUUCAGAAAGUCUCUGUUUCUAAAGUAUUGGAGUGUUUAUUUUCCAAUUUUAAGGAAGAAAAAAUUACUAGAGGUGAGAAAGCAUGGAGUGCUCAUCUGCUACCUAAAGGGAUAGAUCCAACCUAGAAAUUGUUGUAGGUUCUGGAUUUUGUCACUUUAUUUUAUUUUUUUUUUUUAAUUUUAUUUUAUUUACCCUCUGGAACUCUAGGAAAAUGGAGGCAAGAAUCAAGGGGGGCAAGACUCCAACGUUGGAAAAGCCAACGAGAUCCUCGUGAUCUCCCACUUUUAUAUGAAGUAUUCACGUGAAUGGAAUGUUAUACACAGUUGGUCAGUUUCUUGCUCACUUGUUUCUCGUCGCCCCUCUCGCGAGAUGUCCAUCUGUGCUUAUCAAUAAGUUUGCAUUCCAUUGCUAGGUUUACCAAAACAUGUGUCUGGUUCUCCAGGAAAAUGCAGAUAAUAUGAAGGCUUUAGCUGACAGGCAAAUUCACUGAAAGAGAUACUUGUUUUUAACAAAACCAGGACAGACUCUUAGAGGGCUCUCAGAGCCAAAGGUUGAAGAGCUAAGUCAGAACUAAUAAGGUGGUCAGAAUUAGUCUGCACUUGAGAGUGUGUAUGUGUUUAUACAUUAAUUCAUACAUGCAUGCAUAUAUAUGCAUGUAAUACAAAAUUAGGAAAAAUAACAGCCCCUAUGAAAAGCUGCAAAUCCAUAAUCUGGGUUUCUUGUAUUGCCAAUGUCAUAGCUCAGAGGAGGAAAAGGGUCAAGUUGGCACAGAAUCAUUAACCAGUUUGGGUUGGAAGGAACCUUAAAUAUCAUCUAGUCCAACCCCUCUGCCAUGGGCAGGGACACCUCCCACUAGACCAGGUUGCUCAAAGCUCCAUCCAGCCUGGCCUUGAACACUGCUGGGGAUGGGGCAUCCACAGCUUCUCUGGGCAAUCUGCUUCAGUGCCUCACCACCCUCACAGAGAAAAAUUUCUUCCUUCUGGCCAAUCUAAAUCUACUCUCUUCCAGUUUAAAACUGCCGCCCCUUCCCUGUCACUACAGGCUCUCAUAAAAAAGUCUCUCUCCCUCUUUCUUAUAAGCCCUCUAUGUACUGAAAGGCUGGAAUAGGGUUUUCCCAAAGCCUUCUCUUCUCCAGAUUGAACCACACCAACUCUCUCAGACUUUCUCCAUAAAAGGAUGUGUUAAUUAUAACAAUGUUUGACAAAUUUUGCAUGCAUGAUGAUUUUGGACAAUGCUUUUCUUUUCUCCAAUAGUGAUUCAAAUAGCUGGUCAACUGUACCAAUUUUAGUUUCUUCUUUAAAAUAAUUAUAGCUACCAAAUCUUCAGUCACAUGUAAUUUAAGUAGAAAUUUUUUGAAAUGAAAAUAUAAAAUAUUUUUUAAUUGGAGUAAUAUCAGUUGGAGAUCUUUUUUUAAAAACUAACUAUAUUAAGUAAGUAAAUAUUUGUAAAAACUACAGUACAUAUUUAACUUUUAUGUUUAUAUUGUUAAAAGAAAAGCCUGGAUAGCGAAAACAAAUGCUUCACAGAAUCACAGAAUGUCAGGAGUUGGAAGGGACCCCGAAAGGUCAUCUAGUCCAAUCCCCCUGCUGGAACAGGAACACUUAGAUGAGGUUACACAGCAAGGCAUCCAGGUGGGUUUUGAAUGUCUCCAAAGUAGGAGACUACAUAACCCCCCUAGGCAGCCUGUUCCAGUGUUCUGUCACCCUUAUUGAGAAGAAGUUUCUUCUCAAAUUUAAGUGGAACCUUUUGUGUUCCAUUUUGAACCCCUUGUCCUAUCAUUAGCUGUCACCGAGAAGAGCAUGGCUCCAUCCUCGUGACACUCACCCUUUACAUAUCUGUAAACAGUAAUGAGGUCACCCCUCAGUCUCCUCUUCUCCAAGCUAAAGAGACCCAGCUCCCUCAGCCUUUCUUCAUAAGGGAGAUGCUCCACUCCCUUAAUCAUCUUGGUUGCCCCACGCUGGACUCUCUCCAGCAGUUCCCUGUCCUUCUUGAACUGAGGGGCCCAGAACUGGACACAGUAUUCCAGAUGUGGUCUCACCAGUGCAGAGUAGAGGGGAAGGAGAACCUCUCUCAACCUACUAACCACCCUCCUUCUAAUACACCCCAGGAUGCCACUGGCCUUCCUGGCCACAAGGGCACAAUGCUGGUUCAUGGUCAUCUUGCUGUCCACCAGGACCCCCAGGUCCCUUUCCCCUACACUGCUCUCUAACAGGUCAUUCUCCAACUUAUACUGGAACCUGGGGUUGUUCCUGCCCAGAUGUAAGACUCUACACUUUCCCUUGUUAUAUUUCAUUAAAUUUUUCCCUGCCCAACUCUCCAGCCUGUCCAGGUCUUGCUGGAUGGCAGCACAGCCUUCUGGCAUGUCAGCCACUCCUCCCAGCUUCGUGUCAUCAGCAAACUUGCUGAUAGUGCACUCUAUUCCCUUGUCCAAAUAAUUGAUGAAUAUAUUGAAUAAUAUAGGCCCCAGUACUGACCCUUGAGGCACUCCACUAGAUACAGGCCUCCAGCUGCCCCAUUGACCACGACUCUGGUUUCUUCCCUUCAGCCAUUUUGCAGUCCACCUCACUACCCAGUCAUCCAGACCGCACUCCCUCAGUUUCGCUAUAAGGAUGCUAUGGGAGACUGUGUCAAAUGCCUUACUCAAGUCAAGGUAGACCACGCCCACCGCUCUGCCAUAAUCCAUCCAUCUUGUUAUGUCCUCAUAAAAGUCAAUGAGAUUGGUCAAGCACGACUUCCCUUUGGUGAAGCCAUGUUGACUGUCCCUAAUGACCCUCUUAUCCCUGAUAUGCCUUGAGAUGGCACCAAGGAUAAGUCAUUCCAUCAGUUUCCCAGGGAUGGAGGUGAGGCUGACUGGUCUAUAGUUACCCGGGUCCUCCUUCUUGCCCUUUUGUGAAGACUGGAGGGACAUUUGCUUUCCUCCAGUCCUCAAGCACCUCUCCCGUUUGCCAAGACUUGGCAAAGAUGAUGGAGACUGGUCCAGCAAUGACCUCAGCCAGCUCCCUCAGCACCCGUGGGUGCAUCCCAUCCGGCCCCAUGGAUUUAUGGAUGUUGAGAUUUCCUAACUGCUCCCUAACCCAGUCCUCAUCAACCAAGGCAGACUACUCCAUUGUCCUGCCUUCCUCUGUGGCCUCAGCAGUACGGGGCUCCUCAGGACAACCUCCAGCAGAGUAGACAGAGACAAAGAAGGCAUUCAGUAGCUCUGCCUUCUCUGUAUCUUCUGUCACCAGGGCACCCACCUUGUUCAUCAGUGGGCCUACAUUGCCUCUGGUGUUAGUUUUAUCUGCCACGUAUUUGAAAAAGCUCUCCCUGUUGUUCUUGACCCCUCUCGCCAGGUUUAAUUCUAAGGAGGCCUUAGCUUUCCUAGUUGCCUCCCUACACCCUCUGACAACAGCCUCAUAUUCUCCCCAAGUGGCCAGCCCCUCCUUUCAUGAUCUAUAAACUCUCCUCUUCCACUUGAGCAUACCCAGCAGUUCCCUGUUUAACCACGCAGGUCUCCUGGCUUCCUUCCUUGACUUCCUACGUGUCAGGAUGCUCUGAUCUUGUGCCUGGUAGAAACAGUCCCUGAACACUAACCAACUGUCUUGGGCCCCUUUACCUUCAAGCAGCCUUGCCCAUGGGAUUUCCCCCAGCAAUUGUCUGAAAAGGCCAAAGUUUGCCUUGCUGAAAUCCAGGGUUGCAAUUCUGCUUGCUAUCCUGCUCCUGCCACAUGAGAUCCUGAACUUCACCAUCUCAUGGUCGCUGCAACCAAGGCAGCCCUCAGCCUUUACUGCUUCAACCAGACCCUCCUUGUUAGUGAGGAUGAGGUCCAGCAGUGCUUAAUAGUAUCCUGUAUUUUUUUUUAAGUAUAUAAGCCAAUUACUUGCUUCUAAUUUAUUGAUGAUAUUAAGCAGCAUAGCUAUGGCCAUGAUCAGAAUGAAAUCUGAUUAUGUGAAUUAUUUUUGCAGGUGGCAGCUUGAAAUGGGGUCAAAACGUUAUGCUCUCAGCCAUAAUAAAAUCUCUUCCUCUUGGCAAGCCAUCCUGGUGGUAUUGCUGAAUAGUUGAAGAAUGAAUGGUAGCAGACAAAGUAAUAUAAGAAAAUAAUAGAAAGCCAAGUGAAGCCAGAACAUUAAGUGAAGCCCAUUGCACAUUGUGAAUGGUGGCCGUGCUGGGCUUCCCGCUAGACUCCUGCUGUAACGGCAUUUAUAUAGCUGAGAGCUUUUCCCUCUGGUCAGAACAGAAGAAAAGACCGUGUUUUGAGAGUAGGUACCCCAACUUACAAAAUUUUUUUUCCCCUCAAAGUCACUUAAAACUCUGUGGAAGUACAAAGAGGGAUGUCUGUUUGUUGUGAGACUGACUGGGUUGUUAGAAUGCUGCAGAUUUACUGUAUAACUGAAGUAGAAUUGGGAGAUGGAAUCACUGCCAAAUUCUAAUCAGGCUGGGAUCAUAAACUUCUUUGAAACACUUUCCCUCCAUUUUCCACCUUUUUUUUUUUUUUUUUAUACAAUGAUGCUUUAAUGAAUUAAUGAUGCAUGUGUGGUUCUUUAUCUUAUUAGUACUGCAUGUGUGUACUGUAAAUGGCAGCUUAGGUGGCAAAGCCAGGGGAACAGUAUGUUUUGGUCCACUGCUAUCCAAAAUGCCACUGUAUCCUGUCUAAAGAGAGACAGAACAAACUGCAUCUGCCCAGUUUGUUUGUGUUUUUAUAUUCUGUAAAUACAUGCUAGGUGAAAAGUUGAAAUCCUGGUUCUCAUUCAAAAGAACUGUAUUUGAGAGGCAGUUUGCUAAGAUGCCUCCAUUUAUUUUUAAUUGAAGUGCAUGUCUUGCAAGAGUUAUUCUUUUUGUGCAAGCUUGAAAGAGACAUGAUGACAUUUAAACCAAUAGAAUAUAUGAAAUUUUAAGAAUGUUACUCUUAAUACCUUUUUUCUUUUUUUCUUGUCUUUUUUAUUUUCUCCCCCGUUAUUUUCACCUUUUGAAAGGGAUGCGUGUGAAUAUGUCCUUCUAUACUUGCUUCCAGUUCAGGAUGCAGCUUUUGAAUUGUGUUCUUCUGCCUUUGGUAGUGCAGUUAUAAAUCUGGUGCUUUUUCGUGAGAAAUUACAAUUUUAACUUAACAUCCUCUGUCACGGAGUACUACUCUUUUUAUAUUGUCAGUCAGAAAUUGAUGCAAAGUAGCCAUAUCUGUUCAGGCCCUCAUUGACUUACCGACAUAGAGGUAGUUUAAAAAAUGUUGCUAGCUAUACCUUCCAUUAAUCACAUUAUUUAGAUUACAGGUGCGUUUUCCCUCCUCUUCAAUGACUGAUAGCCAUCUUCCUGGAACAUCUGUAUCACCCUUUCUUCUAUUUUAUGUCAGCAUUGAAAUUAGUUUCUUCUAGUUGAUCCUAUCAAAAGAAGAUAAAUUGGACAAAGAUAAACUGGAGGUAAACUUUCAGUAUGUCCACUGACAUUUUAAUGUUACUGGAAAAAGAUGCCUUUGUAACACUGUCCAUGAAGUCCAAUGCAUAACUGUAUUUUAACAGCCUGUGAACCGUGUACCUUGUAAGGGCUCUGAUGGCAGACGUUACCAAGUGGCACAGCUGUACAGAGCCUAAAAAUUGUCUUCAUGAGGAAGGAAACCUGACUGAUGGGAGAUGUUUUAUUUUGGUUUUAAAUGCUGCUCGGCUGCAUGUUUCUGUUGUUGCAAAUUACCCUGCAGAAAAUGUGACUAUGUCUUGCUGGUUUGUGUAGUGGCCAAGUGACAGACAGCUUUAUGAACCCAGUCUGGCUAAUCUUGUGGUAAGAAUGAAUUUUGUCCAGCAUUUGUAACUAUAUCUCUCCUCACACUGGUGCAGAAAUUUACAUAAACCAAACUAUUCUUAAGAUAUACUAAAAUCUGAUGAUAUUUGUUUGUUUGUUAGAAUUCUGUGCCAGACCUUAAGGUAUAUUUUUGAUCUGUAGAAAAGAGACGUCCUAAUCCAUGUUUAAAUUUUUGAUUCAUCAUUUGCUUCAUUUGAAUGCAAUAGACAUGACCAAUCUAUUUUUUUUUUCCUCUGCUCCCUGUCCCCCCACCCCAUUUUCACUUGACAUCUGUUCUGUGUGAGUACUGGAUUGUCAGUGGCUUCUUUUGAGCUUAGGGCAGGAGUAUUCAGGAAUAUUUUUCUGUUACAGAAAAACUGCGGUAAAGUUUAUUCUGCACGUGAAUAGUAAAAAUCUGUGCCUAGUGUAAGUGCUGUUUCAUAUCAGCUUAAGAAGAUUGUUAGCAUAUAUGCCUGAAGUAUCAGAACCUGGUGUUAUGUGGAGGUGAUCCUCACCAUGGCCAUAUAAAUGUAAAAGCUUAACCAGUGCAGGGCUCAAGUAAUUCCCUUGAUGCCGAUGUGCUUCAGCUUGUUAGACACCUGCCUUGUUCUGCUUUGAGUUACAGCAUUGGAAAGCCUUUUUUGUAAACAUGCAUAUUAAAUCAACAGUCUAAGCCACCCUUGGAAAUGGAGGUUGAGAGGUACCUGUUCUGUUCUGAAUGGGAACGUGUGCCCAGAGCAUAUCAUCUCAGCUCUGCACCAUCGGCUUCUGCUGGCGUGGUGGCUGCCCCGUCACAACAGGUACGGAGUGGGGGCAGGAGGAGAGCAGGGGAAUUAAGAAAGAGAGAAGGAAAUACUGUCAGCUCCUCUUCCUCAUCAGCAGAUCAAGUAAGCAGAAAUGCAAAAUGAAAACAGAAGAGAAGGUUGCAUGCCCUUCAGCAGAGGUUAGGGAUUUAUUAUUUCAAUUUGGACAAAAAUUAAAUCACAAGAGUAUGUGUACUUCAGACAUGCAGUUCAGAUUUCUUGUGCACAGUCUUGAAUUCGCAUUACUAAGAAAGCAGUUCUGUAGGUACCAUUAUCAUGUGCUUACAUUUUAUCUUUUACCUAUAAUUUCAUAAGAUUUUUAUCCUCUAGCAGAACUGGCAUAGGCUGUUACGCACAGAGUACAGGAUUUCUAAUCUCAUGGAAUAAAUUCACAGACAGUUUUGUAAAAGCUGAAAUACAAAUUUAUUCAAACUAGCUUAGUGAAGCAAAUUUUGGGGUUUCUGCUGGAAAGAGAACAUCUUGUACAUCAGAGAACCAAAUUAUGUAUCUGAUUAUUUUAGAAUUUGCAUAGAAAUAAGAAAUUAUGCAGAAAUCAAAACAUAAUGUUCAUUGGAGUCUGGACAAGGGCAGUAAGGAGACUUGGAGUUGCACAGAGCAGAAAAUGAAAGCAAAAUCUCUGAUUUAUUCUACUUCUAUUGAGAUUAUGUCUAAAGAAAGAUUGUUUUUUCUUUUCCCCUCCCCUCUCCCCUUUUGCAUAUGUUUGUGAAAGGGAGCAUUGCUGUCCAUUGUAUGUGAGACAGUGCCCUUUAAAUAUCAGGGAUAGUACUGAAAGACACAUAACUCAUCAAUUUUGAAGUUGUUUUUUAAUGCAUUUUUACCUUCCUGAAAUGUUUGUCUAUGCUUGCACCUAUAAGCAAUGCUGAAGUGGAUAUUAAGAUGAGUAGGACUCUAUUUCUGUUUUUCUUGAAACACAGAUCAUGGAUAAAGUUUAUGCUAAGGGAAAAUAGCAAGCUGUUAGCCUAUAAAAGUAUCUAUAGUUAUAUAAAACAUGGAUAGCAUAUAUUCUCUUGUUCACUUAUAGACAAAGAGUAAGAGAGCAGUGCGAGAGAAACUUUAAAGCCACCCACCGUUGUAGUAUUAUAACAUCAGUGAAAUAUUUUAGAAAAAAUUAUUAAAGUCGAACUAGACAUGAUUUUGUAACUUUGCUUGUGCCAUUCUGAACCGAAUGAACAGUAUGAUACUUGCCUUUGAGUUUCAUAGGAGAAAAAUGAGACAGGCUCUCUGAAUUAAUUUUAACCAUGCUGAAACUUAUUUCUGGGGAUAAGUACAAAAUACGUAAAUCUUUUUUUUGGAAAUCAUUUUUAUGUCUUGCUGUCACUUGAUUUGACUUGACUUAUGGAUGUUAGGUGAUCUUACAGAUGUUAGAUAAGCUUAUGCAUAAACAGAGAUGAUGCAGAAGAAGGUACAAUGGUGAAGGGAGAGGCAUUAAUUGCUCAAGUGAAAACAAUGAGGAGAAUUCUGUGGAAAGGUAUAUAGGAAGGGCAAAUGUAUGUGGGCCUUUGAAUAAGGUAAUUAACAACUGUGAAUGUAAGAUAGGCAUAAUGAAGUAACAAGCCAUUUAGAAAGGGGUUGCUUGUCCUCCAUACUUCAGAAGUAUUCUGAAAUAAAUAUAGGAGGAUGAGAAAGGUAAGCAUCAGAUGUGGAAAAUGGAAGGUGUGAUAGGUAGGUCUAUGUAUGAGCUCUCAUUUGUUGAAAUGGAAAGCAAAUGACAGAUUAUAGUGAUGCUGUGAAGCAGAUCUAAAUGGCAGCCCCAACUCUGUACACUUACAGGGACUUGGGACAGUGUAGUUGAACUUGCAGUGGUGAAGCUCUAAAUAGGCUGGAACAUCCCCAUGGGUGAAAAACUUAGAAAGAAAUCUUUGCUGAAAGCCUUUGAGGAUCUCCCUUGUUCUCUGGGUUGAGUCCCAGAUGGCUGUGAAACAUUUAAAAAAUGACUAAUUAGAACAAACCAGAUUAACUCUUUGUGUUAAGGACAACUUUGUACUUUAAAUGUUUGUGUAAACCUAGUUGAGGAUGAAAAUUUAUCAGAUUUGAGUGUAAGGCACAGCCAGGGCUGUCAGAUCAUAAAAGGGCAUCAUGCAGCUAAGAAGGGACUAUUAGCCUACAAGCUUAUAAUGGACUCCUUCAUAAAGCAAAUUACCUGUUGACAUUGGUACAGCUAAAUCAUUAGAAAGUAAAAAUAUGGCUGCAGUUCACAAACACAGGUUCGUAACAGGCAGAACAUGGGAUUGCUGUGAAACAAGGAAUUGCUGGUUAAAGAUCAAAAGCAGAAAGGAAUGUGUAUUAAAAAAAGGGGGAAGAAGAAACCAAGCAACCAUGAAGUAAUAAUAGAGAGGCCUUUCUAAAAAGAGGAAAUUAUUCUUGUAAAGUAUAAAAUAAUCAGUGAAUAUUAUUUCAUUCCAGCUAUAGGACAGAGGUAUAAAUUUGUGCUAAUUAAAAAACAAAAAAGGCAAGCUUCUUUACUGGUAAUGUAUGUAAAAGGUACCUUUGAAAAUGGAAUUUUGUGCAGAUUAUGUGACUCAUCUAUAUCCCCUUGGUGUGAAAGAGCAUGGGGAAAAAAAAUAAUUUCUUUAUAUCAGUCUUAGUGAUGAAGAAAAUGGAAAUACUAGGAUUGCACUAAACAAGCCAGAAGUAUUUUUCUAUAGAUAGCUGAAAUAGCAUUACAAAGUGAUUUAAAAAGAUGGACCCAAUUUCAAAGGGCAGUGGUUUCAAACUGGGUCCAUCUUUUUGAAACACCCUGUGUUAUGUGCUGUAUUUUACCAGAUCUUCUUCACAACUGUGUAAAAGUGCUAAAUCUUUCAAAAUAUUUAAUCGAAACACUAGGCUUUGCAGCUGUUAAUUAUUUUCAUUGAGAAGACGCUUAGAGAUUAAAUAUUCCUUGAAGAGGAAUGAAUGAAAACUAGCAUGCUUUUAGUAAAGGUAAGUGAGGUUCUCACUGGAUAGUGAAUGAUAAUGGUGGAUGUCUACCCAACACACCACAGCUAAACAUUUCCCUAAGAAAAUACUUAGCAUGAUAAACAUUUUGGAAUCAAAGCAAAUCCCAAAGCUUUUGUGGAAAUGGAUCUUGUUCACUGUUGGAGGGACAGAGUGUUCUUCAGUGGUUUUCUCCAACUUGAUUAUGUGUGGAUCCUCUGCAUGGAAGGGACAUGAGCCAAUAUGCCAAGAUCAUCCUCUAUAGCUUCCCAUUCCUUCUCAGAUUUGUCUUUGAGUCUCUUGGUUAACAGUCUAGUAAUUGUUUCCAGAUGCUGAUUUCCUCAACAGCAUCCUGCUUCAGCUCUGUCUUCAGCAGGAGGGCACUUUGCUGGGUCUCUGUGCGUCAGUUCUGGUGGAAAUCUUCCAGUGUUUAUUGCCCUGAUCAGUCCUGCUCUCUGCCUGGUGUCAUUAGCCACUUUCCGAAUGACUGGCUGCUGUCAGUUGUAAUUGCAUUACUUCUCUUUGUCUUGUGACAAUCUAUUGACCACAUGAAGUGUAAGUCACCUCACGGCAGUAGUUAAGUACUACGUUAUUUCAGUAAAUGGUUUAUUUGGCUUAUGGUUUCUAAGCAGAUUUGACAGACUUCCCAGGUGGACUCCUUUACAGUCCUCCAACAAGCUCUGGACUGACUGAUUUUCACCUAAAAUUGACUUCGUAAGCACUUCCUUUAGGUUUUUGAAGUACAAUUUCAGCAUUCAGAAGGAUAUGGAUUUCUCUCCAAAAAUGUUUUUGUCUUAAUAUCUGAUAAAACAUUAGAUUCUAACUGUUGACAUCUAGACUUGAUUAGCUACUCUUGUGAUCUUUACUAAUUACAUAUUAGUUAGCUCUUUUCAAGUGAGUUAUGUAUUGUUUUUCUUCAUCUCUAAUAACACCAAUUUCCUGACAUGUUUCCCUCAGAUUUGCUUGCUGUUAUUGAUGUUGGAGAUCAGCUUUAUUCUUAUGGCUGCAAUUACCAAUGUUUUCUGUAUCAUUAUGUGCUAGUAAAUAUAAUGCACAUUUUAAAAAUAGUGCAGAAAAAUGUUUUGAGUUCAGACAAUGUUUGUACAAACCUUAACUCUGCACCUAAGAGAACUUUUCUGGACAGGAAAAAUUGCUGCUAUAAACAGGUGCAUGUUUACUAACAAAGGGCUUUUUAAAAAAAUAUGUAUAUGAGGGUUUUCUAAACUUAAGUGGUGCUUUGCCAGUUCACAGAAACAGACAAUUCACCAUUUAAAAGCAUAUAAUAAGUUUUACAGUAUAAUCUGAUGUCUAGGGAAGAAUCUUUCUUUAGAAGACUUUUGCACGUUUUCAGUACAAUGUAGUAUUUAUAUUUUCUAAGGUAACCGCUUUGUGUUGGUUUUGGAAGUCACUAUUAGAGACGACAUUCUAAAAUCACUCAUCUUUUUUCAAUUAUACCAAUUUUUAUGUGUGCUUUGCUGAAAUUCUCUUUUCUAUUGAAUGUAGUUUGCCCAACCAGCUGAUCUCAAGGCUUGUAGUUGUAAAGGAUAAGGAAGCACUGUCAGUGCCAAUAAGCAAAUAAUAAACAUGUGUCGAGGGUUAAGAUUGCGGGGUGACAAUAAAACCCUGGCAGAUGUAUUGUUAACCCCCUCUCCCCCUCCCACACUUCCCCCUCCCUCUCCCCCCUUUUCAUUAAGGAGAGGCGAUUGGGAGGAAAAGAAGCACAGAGU
This is a long non-coding RNA of Columba livia (rock pigeon), 20553 nucleotides long. RefSeq lists it as uncharacterized. The record is from RefSeq and is a predicted model, not a curated record. Lineage: Eukaryota; Metazoa; Chordata; Aves; Columbiformes; Columbidae. The transcript is spliced from 4 exons.